Molecule: ribosomal RNA, 253 nt
Filed under: uncultured bacterium
Lineage: Bacteria
Description: partial 16S ribosomal RNA
Rfam family: Bacterial small subunit ribosomal RNA
Source: RNAcentral
UACAGAGGGUGCAAGCGUUGUUCGGAAUUAUUGGGCGUAAAGCGCGUGUAGGCGGCUUUGCAAGUCGGGUGUGAAAGCCCUCAGCUCAACUGAGGAAGUGCGCCCGAAACUGCAGAGCUUGAGUGCCGGAGAGGGUGGCGGAAUUCCCCAAGUAGAGGUGAAAUUCGUAGAUAUCGGGAGGAACACCAGUGGCGAAGGCGGCUAUCUGGGCUGAAACUGACGCUGAGGCGCGAAGGCUAGGGGAGCAAACAGG